This 254-nucleotide ribosomal RNA is filed under the name uncultured bacterium. RNAcentral's name for it is "partial 16S ribosomal RNA". It matches the Rfam family "Bacterial small subunit ribosomal RNA", at positions 524 to 776 of the family's 1533-position model. The record is from RNAcentral.
GACGAACCGUGCGAACGUUAUUCGGAAUCACUGGGCUUAAAGCGCGUGUAGGCGGCCCGGCACGUCUCUGGCUGAAAUCCCCCGGCUCAACCGGGGAAGUGGCCGGGAUACGACCGGGCUGGAGGGGGGUAGGGGGAGCCGGAACUUCCGGUGGAGCGGUGAAAUGCGUUGAGAUCGGAAGGAACGCCCGUGGCGAAAGCGGGCUCCUGGACCCCACCUGACGCUGAGACGCGAAAGCCAGGGGAGCGAACGGG